This 72-nucleotide transfer RNA is filed under the name Rachycentron canadum (cobia). RNAcentral describes it as "tRNA-Trp". It matches the Rfam family "tRNA". Rfam says of the family: Transfer RNA (tRNA) molecules are approximately 80 nucleotides in length. Their secondary structure includes four short double-helical elements and three loops (D, anti-codon, and T loops). Lineage: Eukaryota; Metazoa; Chordata; Actinopteri; Carangiformes; Rachycentridae. The record is from RNAcentral.
GAGAACUUAGGAUAAUUAUAAGACCAAGAGCCUUCAAAGCCCUUAACGGAGGUUUAAAUCCCCCAGUUUUCG